This 451-nucleotide ribosomal RNA is filed under the name uncultured bacterium. RNAcentral's name for it is "bacterial SSU rRNA". It matches the Rfam family "Bacterial small subunit ribosomal RNA", at positions 354 to 796 of the family's 1533-position model. The record is from RNAcentral.
GUGGGGAAUAUUGGACAAUGGGGGCAACCCUGAUCCAGCCAUGCCGCGUGUGUGAAGAAGGCCUUUUGGUUGUAAAGCACUUUAAGCGAGGAGGAGGCUUACCUGGUUAAUACCUGGGAUAAGUGGACGUUACUCGCAGAAUAAGCACCGGCUAACUCUGUGCCAGCAGCCGCGGUAAUACAGAGGGUGCAAGCGUUAAUCGGAUUUACUGCGCGUAAAGCGCGCGUAGGUGGCUAAUUAAGUCAAAUGUGAAAUCCCCGAGCUUAACUUGGGAAUUGCAUACGAUAAUGGUUGGCUAGAGUAUGGGAGAGGAUGGUAGAAUUCCAGGUGUAGCGGUGAAAUGCGUAGAGAUCUGGAGGAAUACCGAUGGCGAAGGCAGCCAUCUGGCCUAAUACUGACACUGAGGUGCGAAAGCAUGGGGAGCAAACAGGAUUAGAAACCCUUGUAGUCC